Molecule: ribosomal RNA, 442 nt
Filed under: uncultured bacterium
Lineage: Bacteria
Description: partial 16S ribosomal RNA
Rfam family: Bacterial small subunit ribosomal RNA
Source: RNAcentral
CCUACGGGGUGCAGCAGUGGGGAAUAUUGGGCAAUGGGCGCAAGCCUGACCCAGCAACGCCGCGUGCAGGAAGAAGGCUCUCGGGUUGUAAACUUCUUUUUGCAGGGGCGAGUAGAAGACGGUACCUGUCGAAUAAGACACAGCUAACUACGUGCCAGCAGCCGCGGUAAUACGUAGGUGGCAAGCGUUGUCCGGAUUUACAGGGUGUAAAGGGCGUGUAGCGGGGUUGAGAAGUCAGAUGUGAAAUCCUGCGGCUUAACCGCAGAACUGCAUUUGAAACUGUUGAUCUUGAGUACUGUAGAGGUAGACGGAAUUCAUGGUGUAGCGGUGAAAUGCGUAGAGAUUAGGAGGAACACCAGUUGCGAAGGCGGUCUGCUGGACAGCAACUGACGGUGAGGCGCGAAAGCGUGGGGAGCAAACAGGAUUAGAUACCCUAGUAGUC